RNAcentral lists this ribosomal RNA (659 nucleotides) under uncultured Gammaproteobacteria bacterium. RNAcentral's name for it is "bacterial SSU rRNA". It matches the Rfam family "Bacterial small subunit ribosomal RNA", at positions 71 to 726 of the family's 1533-position model. Lineage: Bacteria; Pseudomonadati; Pseudomonadota; Gammaproteobacteria. The record is from RNAcentral.
AGGGGUAGCUUGCUACCCGCUGACGAGCGGCGGACGGGUGAGUAACGCGUGAGAAUCUGCCCAUCAGUGGGGGAUAACCUGGGGAAACUCGGGCUAAUACCGCAUACGUCCUACGGGACAAAGCAGGGGACCUUUUGGCCUUGCGCUGAUGGAUGAGCUCGCGUCGGAUUAGCUUGUUGGUGAGGUAAAGGCUCACCAAGGCGACGAUCCGUAGCUGGUCUGAGAGGAUGAUCAGCCACACCGGGACUGAGACACGGCCCGGACUCCUACGGGAGGCAGCAGUGGGGAAUCUUGGACAAUGGGGGCAACCCUGAUCCAGCCAUGCCGCGUGUGUGAAGAAGGCCUUCGGGUUGUAAAGCACUUUCAGUAGGGAGGAAGGCUUCCGGUUAAUACCCGGGAGUACUUGACGUUACCUACAGAAGAAGCACCGGCUAAUUUCGUGCCAGCAGCCGCGGUAAUACGAAAGGUGCAAGCGUUAAUCGGAAUUACUGGGCGUAAAGCGCGCGUAGGCGGUGUGUUAAGUCGGAUGUGAAAGCCCAGGGCUCAACCUUGGAAUUGCAUCCGAUACUGGCACGCUAGUGCAGUAGAGGGAGGUGGAAUUUCCGGUGUAGCGGUGAAAUGCGUAGAGAUCGGAAGGAACACCAGUGGCGAAGGCGGCC